UGGGGAAUAUUGCACAAUGGGCGCAAGCCUGAUGCAGCAACGCCGCGUGAACGAUGAAGGUCUUCGGAUCGUAAAGUUCUGUUGCAGGGGAAGAUAAUGACGGUACCCUGUGAGGAAGCCCCGGCUAACUACGUGCCAGCAGCCGCGGUAAUACGUAGGGGGCUAGCGUUAUCCGGAUUUACUGGGCGUAAAGGGUGCGUAGGUGGUCUUUCAAGUCGGUGGUUAAAGGCUACGGCUCAACCGUAGUUAGCCUCCGAAACUGGAAGACUUGAGUGCAGGAGAGGAAAGUGGAAUUCCCAGUGUAGCGGUGAAAUGCGUAGAUAUUGGGAGGAAAACCAGUAGCGAAGGCGGCUUUCUGGACUGAAACUGACACUGAGGCACGAAAGCGUGGGUAGCAAACAGG
RNAcentral lists this ribosomal RNA (403 nucleotides) under Verrucomicrobiota bacterium. RNAcentral describes it as "Verrucomicrobia bacterium partial 16S ribosomal RNA". It matches the Rfam family "Bacterial small subunit ribosomal RNA", at positions 355 to 776 of the family's 1533-position model. Lineage: Bacteria; Pseudomonadati; Verrucomicrobiota. The record is from RNAcentral.